AACUUUUAGCAAUGGAUCACUUGGCUCUCGCAUCGAUGAAGAACGCAGCGAAAUGCGAUAAGUAAUGUGAAUUGCAGACUUCAGUGAAUCAUCGAAUCUUUGAACGCAUCUUGCGCUCCUUGGUAUUCUGAGGAGCAUGCCUGUUUGAGUGUCAUUAAAUUCUCAACUACACUGACUUGAUGUGGCUUGGAUUUUGGGAGUUGUGGGCUAUUUGUAGUCUGCUCCACUGAAAUUAAUUAGCGGUACCUUGUUGGAACUGUCUACAUGUGUGAUAAUUAUCUACAUCCUAGACAUCUGCUGGAAUGCUGUGUUCUAGACCUUACUUGUAUUGACAAUCUUGACCUCAAAUCAGGUAGGACUACCCGCUGAACUUAAGCAUAUCAAUAAGCGGAGGCU
This 396-nucleotide unclassified non-coding RNA is filed under the name uncultured Inocybe. Its description in RNAcentral is "sequence contains ITS2". The stretch from base 1 to 154 matches the Rfam family "5.8S ribosomal RNA". Lineage: Eukaryota; Fungi; Basidiomycota; Agaricomycetes; Agaricales; Cortinariaceae. The record is from RNAcentral.